This 176-nucleotide unclassified non-coding RNA is filed under the name uncultured Herpotrichiellaceae. RNAcentral describes it as "sequence contains ITS1". The record is from RNAcentral. Lineage: Eukaryota; Fungi; Ascomycota; Eurotiomycetes; Chaetothyriales; Herpotrichiellaceae.
CCGAGUUAGGGUCUUAUAGGCCCGACCUCCAACCCUUUGUUUACUAUACCAUGUUGCUUUGGCAAGCCCGCCUUUCGGGGCCACUGGGGGCUUUCAUACCCUUAGUCAGUGCCUGCCAGUAGCCUUAUUAAAUUCUUUUAUAAUUAUGUUGUCUGAGUAUAAAUUUAAAUCGUUUA